RNAcentral lists this ribosomal RNA (253 nucleotides) under uncultured bacterium. RNAcentral's name for it is "partial 16S ribosomal RNA". It matches the Rfam family "Bacterial small subunit ribosomal RNA", at positions 524 to 776 of the family's 1533-position model. The record is from RNAcentral.
UACGUAGGGACCAAGCGUUGUUCGGAUUUACUGGGCGUAAAGGGCGCGUAGGCGGCGAAUCAAGUCAGCUGUGAAAUCUCCGAGCUUAACUCGGAACGGUCAGCUGAUACUGUUUUGCUAGAGUGCAGAAAGGGCAACCGGAAUUCUUGGUGUAGCGGUGAAAUGCGCAGAUAUCAGGAGGAACACCGGUGGCGAAGGCGGGUCUCUGGGCCGUAACUGACGCUGAGGAGCGAAAGCGUGGGGAGCGAACAGG